Molecule: ribosomal RNA, 253 nt
Filed under: uncultured bacterium
Lineage: Bacteria
Description: partial 16S ribosomal RNA
Rfam family: Bacterial small subunit ribosomal RNA
Source: RNAcentral
UACGUAGGGGGCAAGCGUUGUCCGGAAUCAUUGGGCGUAAAGCGCGCGUAGGCGGCCCUGUAAGUCCGUUGUGAAAGUCGAAGGCUCAACCUUCGAAAGCCGAUGGAUACUGCAGGGCUGGAGUCCGGAAGAGGCGAGUGGAAUUCCUGGUGUAGCGGUGGAAUGCGCAGAUAUCAGGAGGAACACCGGUGGCGAAGGCGGGGUCCUGGGCCAGUACUGACGCUGAGGGGCGAAAGCGUGGGGAGCAAACAGG